GAUGAACGCUAGCGACAGGCCUAACACAUGCAAGUCGAGGGGCAGCGGGGGCGAAGCUUGCUUUGCCUGCCGGCGACCGGCGCACGGGUGAGUAACACGUAUGGAACCUGCCCGCCACAGGGGGAUAACCGGUAGAAAUGCCGACUAAUACCCCGUAUGCCCACAGGGGCGCAUGCCCUGGGUGGGGAAACUAUUUUAUGGGUGCGGAUGGCCAUGCGGCGCAUUAGCUAGUUGGCGGGGUAACGCCCACC
This 251-nucleotide ribosomal RNA is filed under the name uncultured bacterium. RNAcentral's name for it is "partial 16S ribosomal RNA". It matches the Rfam family "Bacterial small subunit ribosomal RNA", at positions 28 to 269 of the family's 1533-position model. The record is from RNAcentral.